UACGUAGGGUGCGAGCGUUAAUCGGAAUUACUGGGCGUAAAGCGUGCGCAGGCGGUUUUGUAAGCCGGAUGUGAAAUCCCCGGGCUUAACCUGGGAAUGGCAUUCGGGACUGCAAGGCUGGAGUGCGGCAGAGGAGACUGGAAUUCCUGGUGUAGCAGUGAAAUGCGUAGAUAUCAGGAGGAACACCGAUGGCGAAGGCAGGUCUCUGGGCUGACACUGACGCUCAUGCACGAGAGCGUGGGGAGCAAACAGG
RNAcentral lists this ribosomal RNA (253 nucleotides) under uncultured bacterium. RNAcentral describes it as "partial 16S ribosomal RNA". It matches the Rfam family "Bacterial small subunit ribosomal RNA", at positions 524 to 776 of the family's 1533-position model. The record is from RNAcentral.